AUGGGGCGGGCGCUCUGCCACCGAUUUCAUCCGUCCGCAUCUGAAAGAGAGCUGAGACAAAAGUCAAAGUGCUGCAGGGUAACUUCACAGCUCCGGACAUCUUGUGUUGAUCUAGGAAUAUGUUCUAGACCCCAACUACACCCUACAUCACAAAUUUCAAAUUACAGGGGCCUGGGACUUGGCCUUUUACACCUACAGCCAGGCUGGGCAGCAGGGCAGAGCAGCUCCGGGACAACUACACCCAGACACCCGUGACACACCAGACACCCGACGAGGGGACACAAUGGGGAGACAAAACUCUGGGCCACAAGGACGGCCGCAAGGACUGAGAGAAUGCGGAACGAGAUGAGCCGGGUGAGAAUGAAGGCGAGCUGAUGAAGCUCACAGAACCCGGGAGGAAGAAGAUGCUGAUGGAACAAUUAACUCCAGGAACUGCCAAGACAGAUGCUCAAGAACCUGAGGGCCGCAGUCCCCUACCUAUCUUUGCGUUUCUUCAAGUCCUAAGCCGCAACAAUGGAUCCUCGCGGCGCACGGCUGUUGACACAGCUCAGAACAAGAGGUCUAAAAGACAUCCGAUCGGAUGCUUUUCAAAAGAGACGCGAUUCCAAGGCCUCUGAGAGCAGCCGAGCCGAGGAGCCCAGAGAUUGGAGAUGCUAUAAGUGAUGCUGGGGUUUCUGGUAAGCCCCCAGAAGAGAUAGGGCAAGGCACGUACAACACAAGAGGCACAAAAGACACAGAAGGCACGACGGACAAGUGACACGCCACGCCCCGAGGCUGCUCUGUCCUGCACACCUCAGCACUGUGAACAAAAGUGAGGCUCUCCCACCGUGCGGCCUAAGGGGCCACAGCCUGGACCUCCCCGUCCCCAAAGCUGACUCAAAUAUUCCAGGUCACGAGUCCCGACUAGUCCCAACUUUCAUCCACUCUGCGGAUCUCAGUCAUCGACUAUGCUCUCGAAUGCCCGCUGGGAAGGAUCCACACGGAGCGCCAAGGAAGGCCGCCUCGCCAUCCAGAAAGUUCCUGCCAUCUCCAGGAUAUCAUCUCCAGGUCAGCUACAAAAAAUAAAACAGAAAAUCAGCAGCUGAUCUGUGCA
This 1093-nucleotide long non-coding RNA is filed under the name Cyanistes caeruleus (blue tit). RNAcentral's name for it is "lncRNA (ENSCCEG00000018000.1)". The record is from RNAcentral. Lineage: Eukaryota; Metazoa; Chordata; Aves; Passeriformes; Paridae.